RNAcentral lists this ribosomal RNA (464 nucleotides) under uncultured bacterium. Its description in RNAcentral is "bacterial SSU rRNA". It matches the Rfam family "Bacterial small subunit ribosomal RNA", at positions 41 to 497 of the family's 1533-position model. The record is from RNAcentral.
GGCAGGCUUAACACAUGCAAGUCGAGGGGCAGCAUUUCUAGCUUGCUAGAAGAUGGCGACCGGCGCACGGGUGCGUAACGCGUAUACAACCUACCUGUAACAGGAGGAUAGCCCAGAGAAAUUUGGAUUAAUACUCCGUAGUACUGUUUAACCGCAUGGUUUGAAUAGUUAAAGCUUCGGUGGUUAUAGAUGGGUAUGCGUAAGAUUAGCUAGUUGGUAAGGUAACGGCUUACCAAGGCGACGAUCUUUAGGGGGCCUGAGAGGGUGAUCCCCCACACUGGUACUGAGACACGGACCAGACUCCUACGGGAGGCAGCAGUGAGGAAUAUUGGUCAAUGGAGGCAACUCUGAACCAGCCAUGCCGCGUGUAGGAAGACUGCCCUAUGGGUUGUAAACUACUUUUAUUCAGGAAGAAACCCAGAUACGUGUAUCUGGCUGACGGUACUGAAAGAAUAAGCACCGGC